This 494-nucleotide ribosomal RNA is filed under the name uncultured bacterium. Its description in RNAcentral is "partial 16S ribosomal RNA". It matches the Rfam family "Bacterial small subunit ribosomal RNA", at positions 28 to 507 of the family's 1533-position model. The record is from RNAcentral.
GACGAACGCUGGCGGCGUGCUUAACACAUGCAAGUCGAACGGUGAAGCGCCUUCCUUUUUGGUGGGUGUGGAUGAGUGGCGAACGGGUGAGUAACACGUGAGUAACCUGCCCCCUUCUUCUGGAUAACCGCAUGAAAGUGUGGCUAAUACGGGAUAUUCUGGGUCUGUCGCAUGAUGGGUCUGGGAAAGAUAUUGUUUCGGUGGGGGAUGGGCUCGCGGCCUAUCAGCUUGUUGGUGGGGUGAUGGCCUACCAAGGCGGUGACGGGUAGCCGGCCUGAGAGGGUGGACGGUCACACUGGGACUGGGACACGGCCCAGACUCCUACGGGAGGCAGCAGUGGGGAAUAUUGCACAAUGGGCGCAAGCCUGAUGCAGCGACGCCACGUGAGGGAUGGAGGCCUUCGGGUUGUGAACCUCUUUCGCCAGUGAAGCAGGCCUGCCUCGUUUGUGGGUGGGUUGACGGUAGCUGGAUAAGAAGCGCCGGCUAACUACGUG